Molecule: non-coding RNA, 30 nt
Filed under: Rattus norvegicus (Norway rat)
Lineage: Eukaryota; Metazoa; Chordata; Mammalia; Rodentia; Muridae
Source: RNAcentral
CCUACAGCCACAGAGCUCCUUAGCUAGGCA